Molecule: long non-coding RNA, 2601 nt
Filed under: Eutrema salsugineum
Lineage: Eukaryota; Viridiplantae; Streptophyta; Magnoliopsida; Brassicales; Brassicaceae
Description: long non-coding RNA (ESAL_LNC002058)
Source: RNAcentral
AAAAAGAAAAAAAAAAGCCUAAGCAACCUUCCUUGUUUCAUGCAUGGCCAACUAUGGUUUGAAAAUAAUAAUAUAUAUAUAUGGCUUUAUAUAGUGACCGGUGUUAUUCUGUCAUUAAAAAAAAUUGUGGUGGAAAUAAAUGUCUACGGAUCAAUUUAGUGUUAGUUUGAGUUAGCCAUGACAAUUCUAAGUAAGUAAAGACAAAUAAUAUGCUGAUCAAAGCCUUCCACUAACCCUAUUUUAUUACAUAUUUUUGUUAAACUACUUUAUUAUAAUUCAACUCGACAAUUUUACAAUAUAGUUCAUAAAUUCAUAAUCGUGCCUAUCACUGUGUCCCGUCCCGUGGUACGUCUCCAUCAUAAAACUUUAACAAAUUACAUUUGGUUUAAAUGAUCUUUCUAAUCAUAUAAAAACAAAUUAAAAUGUUAAACAAAUACGAGUUAUAUCAUGUUGGGUGGGUUGGCUUACUGAAACAUCUCAGCUACACGAUUUAUUAUUGGGAUCUAAAAAACCGAACCAACUUUGUAGGCAGCUGUAUUUGUUUCUUUUGGUCCAUUAAUUGGGCUUCUACUGAGCCCAUAUUUAGCUAACGGAUCGAAGGCCUUUCCAAUUGCAAAUAUGCUUGAUUUAUUUAUUAACAAAUAAAUAAAAAAACUAAAUUCCAAAUGAAACCGAAUCGCCAUCGCUGCUUCUCAAAUCUCAAACUGCAGUGGAGGCGCAACGGUCACCUCUGCAAUUAUCUGAAAACCUCUCUCAAGAAAAAAGAUCGAAAAUUUACAGUAAAAGAAAGGGAAAAAUGGUGAUUAAGCAAACGGAAAUUGUGGAGAUCACUCCAGAUCUGUGGGAGACAACGAAGAAGACGAAUACCAAGGGAAGAAAGAAGCUAACCCAGAAGGAAGAAGAAGAAGAACAAGAAGAAGAAGGGACGCCUAUCAGAGGUAUAUUCUGUCUCAAAACAAGACAGGAUGUGCAGUUUUUCGAGGAAAAAGAGGAUUGCUUCAUCCUCGACUUUGAUCCCAACGAUUCAUUUGACGCACGGAAGCUCUCCUUCUCCGAUAACCCAGAAAGUGACAACGAUGUGGCAAUUAUCCACGAGAAAGGCCAGGUUUUGGUCUCUUGGGUUCUUUGAUUUUCUGUAAAUUUUGGGGCUUUUGUAUCUUUUUCGCAUAAUCAAGUUGUCGCUGUUGAUUUUUGAAAUUUUGAUGGAAUCUGGUGUUUUUUUUUCAGGUGGCUUGUAGAGAUUUCCCACAUCCAAGGCAUCUCUGCUUGAAAUAUCCAUUUGCAUCAACUCAUCACGCACUACAUUGUAGUCAGGUAUCUGUACUAUCUUCUAUGUGUUGAACAUGGUCAUUUUCAGAUGUGGUUGGGUUGAGAUGUGGAUCGAUUUGUUGUUUGAAAAAAAUGUGUUUCUUUUAUGUCAAUUUAGCCAAGAUCUUCAAGAGUUGGAUGUAACAAAAGUGUCUAAUGUUUGGUUUUUGAUCUGUAUGUGCGUGUGUGUAGUGCUACUGUUACGUAUGUGAUUUGGCUGCGCCUUGCCCACAUUGGACACCGAGUUAUGAACCGCAUUGUGAAGCCUUGGAGAAUAUUAGGUGGAAGCGUUUACGGGAGCUGCACCGCGUUGUGAAGCAGUAGAGGACAUUAAGCGGAAGCAUUUACGAGAGUUUGUGCUGGAAUCUUGGCUGCUCGCCGUGUAAGCACCAACAAGUAGAAAACUUCUAAUAGGAAAUUGGUCAGCCAAAGGCAAAAGCUUGAGUGAGAGAUGUAUGAUGAAUAUUAAGACUAGUGUGUAAUAUAUAAUGCCCCAUUUUGAGCUAAAUAUUUUGCCUAUUGAAGAACCCAAAUUAGGCCCCUCAUUUGUUAUUGAUUUAUUAGAUUCUAAAUGGAGCCAUCUUUACAUUACCAUUCCGACAUUGCAUGACAGUUAGUGCAGGGAGAAGAAGCAUAGCUUCUACUUAUGUUCAUUCUUCCAACGUUUCUUCAAACUUGGAUUUCGUUACUACUCUAUACACACAAUGUUCAAAUCAAAUAGUCUAGUAAGUUUGCUUAUGAAGAGAUUUUGGAGAUUACAAGUUAUGUAACAAGAAGAAAGAAGCUCUGCUAGAAAUCCAUUUCUUGGAGAUUCAAAAUUAACAUUCCCUAAUCGAUGCUCGAAAAAAUAAAAAGAGUGAGACACUAAGAAAAAGAAAAAAAACCUUGACUGUUGCCGUCGGCUACUACAAUUUAAAUGAAUAAGACUCAGAAGUCGACGAGAUGUGAGGAGAAGUCUGGAACAGGCAAGGAGAGACAACCGAUGUGAAUAUCUCUCCGGUCAUUGGGACGCCGAGGAAUUAUCUCGGCGGCGAUUUUGGCGAGAGCAGUCGUGUACUCGCCAAGUAGCUUAGCGAAAAUAACUAUUGGAACCAUUGUGUAGAAGCUAGUUGGACAACGAAAUUUCUCCAAGGGAAUAUGAUCUUAUAGAAUCGGAAUAUUUUGUUGUGGAAUCACUUUUCAAUGGAUGUCUGAAUAUUUUGACAAGGAUUGUUUUUUGGGAAAUGUCGAAUGAAGAAGGAAUGUAGUUAUUGGAAAGGUGGUGUGCGUGUUGACUGGAUUAUUCCCUUUCCG